Dreissena polymorpha is the source of this 591-nucleotide long non-coding RNA. RefSeq lists it as uncharacterized. The record is from RefSeq and is a predicted model, not a curated record. NCBI's taxonomy places the organism in Eukaryota, Metazoa, Mollusca, Bivalvia, Myida, Dreissenidae. The transcript is spliced from 2 exons.
UGUAGAGACUAACUUAAACAUGGUUUGUUUAUAUUUGUAGAUAAGAUAUAAUGGCUGUAUGGUUUCUUACUAAUUAACCAGGUUUUCCGAAGGAAUUAACCAGGUUUUCCGAAGGAAAAAACUGGUUAUUAGAUUGGCGAAUGCGGGCGGGCUGGCUGGCGGGCUGGCUGGCUGGCGGGCUGGCGGAAUAAGCUUGUCCGGGCCAUAACUAUGUCGUUCAUUGUCAGAUUUUAAAAUCAUUUGGCACAUUUGUUCACCAUCAUUGGACGGUGUGUCGCGCGAAAUAAUUACGUCGAUAUCUCCAAGGUCAAGGUCACACUUUGAGUUCAAAGGUCAAAAAUGGCCAUAAAUGAGCUUGUCCUGGCCAUAACUAUGUCAUUCAUUGUGAGAUUUUAAAAUCAUUUGGCACAUUUGUUCACCAUCAUGGGACGGUGUGUCCCACGAAAGAAUCACGUCAAUAUCUCCAAUGUCAAAGUCGCCACGACUAAAAAUAGAUUUAAAAAAAAAAAAAAAACUUACAAAGGGGGUUAAUUUUUUUUGGUCAUUUAAAAAGUUCAGUUUGAGUUUUCUCCCUUUAUCAGAUUUUUUUUU